Molecule: small nuclear RNA, 280 nt
Filed under: Echinops telfairi (small Madagascar hedgehog)
Lineage: Eukaryota; Metazoa; Chordata; Mammalia; Afrosoricida; Tenrecidae
Description: 7SK RNA (ENSETEG00000024687.1)
Rfam family: 7SK RNA
About the family: 7SK was discovered as an abundant small nuclear RNA in the mid-70s but a possible function has only recently been suggested. Two independent studies have found that 7SK RNA binds the CDK9/cyclin T complex (known as elongation factor P-TEFb). P-TEFb activates transcription by phosphorylating the C-terminal domain of RNA polymerase II.
Source: RNAcentral
GGAGGUGCGGGUGAUCUGGCGGUGACGUCUGUCACCCCAUUGAUCACCAGGGUCCAUUCGGCUGAUCUGGCUGGCUAGGCCAAUGUCUCCUUCCUCCCUCACUACUCCAUGUGCAUCCCUCCCAAAGCGGCAAGCUCAGUUGAAGAGGACGACCUUACCCCAUAGAAGCAGGACCGCCCUUCGGUCAAGGGUAUACGAAUCCGAGUAGCUGACUCCCCUGCCAGAACAUCCAAACAGGCUCUCAGAACAAAACGGGGUCUAUAAAGACACAGAAGGAUCC